RNAcentral lists this ribosomal RNA (906 nucleotides) under Enterococcus sp. H297. RNAcentral describes it as "bacterial SSU rRNA". It matches the Rfam family "Bacterial small subunit ribosomal RNA", at positions 45 to 925 of the family's 1533-position model. Lineage: Bacteria; Bacillati; Bacillota; Bacilli; Lactobacillales; Enterococcaceae. The record is from RNAcentral.
UGCUAUACUGCAGUCGUACGCUUCUUUUUCCACCGGAGCUUGCUCCACCGGAAAAAGAGGAGUGGCGAACGGGUGAGUAACACGUGGGUAACCUGCCCAUCAGAAGGGGAUAACACUUGGAAACAGGUGCUAAUACCGUAUAACAAUCGAAACCGCAUGGUUUUGAUUUGAAAGGCGCUUUCGGGUGUCGCUGAUGGAUGGACCCGCGGUGCAUUAGCUAGUUGGUGAGGUAACGGCUCACCAAGGCCACGAUGCAUAGCCGACCUGAGAGGGUGAUCGGCCACAUUGGGACUGAGACACGGCCCAAACUCCUACGGGAGGCAGCAGUAGGGAAUCUUCGGCAAUGGACGAAAGUCUGACCGAGCAACGCCGCGUGAGUGAAGAAGGUUUUCGGAUCGUAAAACUCUGUUGUUAGAGAAGAACAAGGAUGAGAGUAACUGUUCAUCCCUUGACGGUAUCUAACCAGAAAGCCACGGCUAACUACGUGCCAGCAGCCGCGGUAAUACGUAGGUGGCAAGCGUUGUCCGGAUUUAUUGGGCGUAAAGCGAGCGCAGGCGGUUUCUUAAGUCUGAUGUGAAAGCCCCCGGCUCAACCGGGGAGGGUCAUUGGAAACUGGGAGACUUGAGUGCAGAAGAGGAGAGUGGAAUUCCAUGUGUAGCGGUGAAAUGCGUAGAUAUAUGGAGGAACACCAGUGGCGAAGGCGGCUCUCUGGUCUGUAACUGACGCUGAGGCUCGAAAGCGUGGGGAGCAAACAGGAUUAGAUACCCUGGUAGUCCACGCCGUAAACGAUGAGUGCUAAGUGUUGGAGGGUUUCCGCCCUUCAGUGCUGCAGCUAACGCAUUAAGCACUCCGCCUGGGGAGUACGACCGCAAGGUUGAAACUCAAAGGAAUUGACGGGGGCCCGCA